CAGUAGCCGCGGUAAGACAGAGGAUGCAAGCGUUAUCCGGAAUGAUUGGGCGUAAAGCGUCUGUAGGUGGCUUUUCAAGUCCGCCGUCAAAUCCCAGGGCUCAACCCUGGACAGGCGGUGGAGACUACCAAGCUGGAGUACGGUAGGGGCAGAGGGAAUUUCCGGUGGAGCGGUGAAAUGCGUUGAGAUCGGAAAGAACACCAACGGCGAGAGCACUCUGCUGGGCCGACACUGACACUGAGAGACGAAAGCUAGGGGAGCAAAUGGGAUUAGAUACCCCCGUAGUCCCUGUCUCUUAUAC
This 301-nucleotide ribosomal RNA is filed under the name uncultured bacterium. Its description in RNAcentral is "partial 16S ribosomal RNA". It matches the Rfam family "Bacterial small subunit ribosomal RNA", at positions 509 to 807 of the family's 1533-position model. The record is from RNAcentral.